UAUAUUUUUCAAUUGAAUUUUAAUUGAACAAAUGAUUUAAUUAUUAAAUAAUGCAGAUAUGGAUAUCCGGCUUUCCGGAUGCACACAGAUCUUGAUUUUUAAGAUUCGGAUCCACAUUAUUUAACAUGCAUAUCCGGAUCCAAAGUUUAUUGUCAUCCCUAGCGUGUACCACCCUUUCUCGCAAAUCGGCAUUUCACUCAAUUACCCAACCACUCGGCCUUUGUGAGGGCAACAGUUUGAGCCCCCACAAAAGCAUUGUGGGGGCUAAAAUUCUUUUCCCAAUUAUGAAAAAUAAUUGAGUGAAGGCAGCCUCCUUUCUCUCGAAAUGAGAGUGGAUUAGACAUUUCUCGAAUAUUAGAGAGAGUUAAAAUAUGGGCUUCAAUCUCAAGAAUUUGUCUGAUUGUAAAUAUAUCAGUAAUAGCCUCAUGUAAUAUUAGUUGUAAUUUAGGCAUUAGUCCCAUGUAAUUCAAAAUAACUUGCAAUUUACACUUUGUGAAUUAAUUCAUUUAUCAAUGCUUGAUAUGUUUCUAUAUCUACACUGAUCACACAUAUGCAGCAUGUUGUUGUUAGGCAUUGCUUAACAGCAUAUCAGUUGAAUUUGAUUCAAUUACUUAUCUACCCUAGUUCUUAAUUGCCUAAUUUCUUUUAUCUUCAUCUAUCCCAAUUUUGCGUAUUGUGGUUCUGCUGCCCUUGCCUAACCGCUUAAACUUUUUUUCUCUUUCUCAUUGAAAUUCAAGUCUUUUUUAAAUGUAGAAUUAUUCUUCCUUUGGGAAAAAAAAGAAAGCAAGAAAUAUUCUAUGUAAAUUGCAGAAUAUUGCAAGAACUAAAGUCCGAAUAACAUUUUAGAUAGCCUUAAUCAUUCCGAAAUACUUUUGUUAGAUUUCAUUAUUAAUUUAUAAUGAAAAUCUAUAGAAGCACGAAGCCACCAUUAACCCUAACUUUAUUGAUCAAAAUAAUAAAGUAGAUGGAACUGAACUCACUACCCAGGUUGGCGAAAAGGGAAAAGAAAAAAGAUGUAAUAAUAGACCCCCAACAUGGAAAAUGCACCAUGUAUAUCUUGAUUUGAUCGCGUUAAUAAAGAAGAUGUGACAUCGAAAAGUAAUUCGUGGAAUACGAUAUUACCUCUAUAUGCUAAGCCUACCCAUUACGUGAGGAUUAUCGUAUUUAACGGCGGCGAAAAUUUUAUUGGGGUGGAAAUUAUAAUUGAAAGUUGAAUUAAUCACGCAUCCCCCGACUCGAUUGCUAUA
This 1247-nucleotide long non-coding RNA is filed under the name Citrus x clementina. RNAcentral describes it as "Citrus clementina (C. clementina) long non-coding RNA (CCLE_LNC004730)". Lineage: Eukaryota; Viridiplantae; Streptophyta; Magnoliopsida; Sapindales; Rutaceae. The record is from RNAcentral.